AUAUUGUACCAUGGGCGGAAGCCUGCUCAAGCCAUGCCGCGGGUGUGAAGAAGGUCUUCGGAUUGUACCGCAAUUUAAUUUGGGAGGCAGGGUUUACACCUAAUACGUGUGAACUUUGACGUUACCAAAAGAAUAAGCACCGGCUAACUUCGUGCCCGCACCCGCGGUAAUACGAAGGGUGCAAGCGUUACUCGGAAUUACUGGGCGUAAAGCGCGCGUAGGUGGUUCGUUAAGUUGGAAGUGAAAACCCCGGGCUCAACCUGGGAAUUGCUUUCAAAACUGGCGAGCUAGAGUACGGUAGAGGGUGGUGGAAUUUCCUGUGUAGCGGUGAAAUGCGUAGAUAUAGGAAGGAACAUCAGUGGCGAAGGCGACCACCUGGACUGAUACUGACACUGAGGUGCGAAAGCGUGGGGAGCAAACAGG
This 423-nucleotide ribosomal RNA is filed under the name uncultured bacterium. RNAcentral describes it as "partial 16S ribosomal RNA". It matches the Rfam family "Bacterial small subunit ribosomal RNA", at positions 361 to 776 of the family's 1533-position model. The record is from RNAcentral.